GAUGAACGCUGGCGGCGUGCCUAAUACAUGCAAGUCGAGCGAACGGACGAGAAGCUUGCUUCUCUGAUGUUAGCGGCGGACGGGUGAGUAACACGUGGUUAACCUACCUAUAAGACUGGGAUAACUUCGGGAAACCGGAGCUAAUACCGGAUAAUAUUUUGAGCCGCAUGGUUCAAAAGUGAAAGACGGUCUUGCUGUCACUUAUAGAUGGAUCCGCGCUGCAUUAGCUAGUUGGUAAGGUAACGGCUUACCAAGGCAACGAUGCAUAGCCGACCUGAGAGGGUGAUCGGCCACACUGGAACUGAGACACGGUCCAGACUCCUACGGGAGGCAGCAGUAGGGAAUCUUCCGCAAUGGGCGAAAGCCUGACGGAGCAACGCCGCGUGAGUGAUGAAGGUCUUCGGAUCGUAAAACUCUGUUAUUAGGGAAGAACAUAUGUGUAAGUAACUGUGCACAUCUUGACGGUACCUAAUCAGAAAGCCACGGCUAACUACGUG
RNAcentral lists this ribosomal RNA (497 nucleotides) under uncultured bacterium. Its description in RNAcentral is "partial 16S ribosomal RNA". It matches the Rfam family "Bacterial small subunit ribosomal RNA", at positions 28 to 507 of the family's 1533-position model. The record is from RNAcentral.